This 369-nucleotide ribosomal RNA is filed under the name uncultured bacterium. RNAcentral describes it as "partial 16S ribosomal RNA". It matches the Rfam family "Bacterial small subunit ribosomal RNA", at positions 220 to 580 of the family's 1533-position model. The record is from RNAcentral.
UAAGGAGGAGCCCGCGUACCAUNAGCUGGUUGGUGGGGUAAAGGCCUACCAAGGCGACGAUGGUUAGCGGGUCUGAGAGGAUGAUCCGCCACACUGGAACUGGAACACGGACCAGACUCCUACGGGAGGCAGCAGUGAGGAAUUUUGCGCAAUGGGGGAAACCCUGACGCAGCGACGCCGCGUGGGUGAUGAAGGCUUUCGAGUCGUAAAGCCCUGUCAGAUGGGAAGAAGUGUAUGUGGGUUAAUAAUCUGCAUAUUUGACGGUACCAUCAAAGGAAGCACCGGCUAACUCCGUGCCANCANCCGCGGUAAUACNGAGGGUGCAAGCGUUGUUCNGAAUUACUGGGCGUAAAGGGCNCGUANGCNGCC